RNAcentral lists this long non-coding RNA (622 nucleotides) under Brassica napus (rape). Its description in RNAcentral is "long non-coding RNA (BNAP_LNC016350)". The record is from RNAcentral. Lineage: Eukaryota; Viridiplantae; Streptophyta; Magnoliopsida; Brassicales; Brassicaceae.
UUGAUCGGUGACGUUUUCUUGUAUUUAGGAAAAUUAAGGGGUAAGUACUAUUUGUACUCAUGUUUUAAUAGUUUAGAUUUUAUAAUAUUUUCACAUAUAUUAAAAAAACAGAAUAAUUUAUUGUUAUAAAUAUUUGUUUUUGUAAUACCAGUUUUGAAUAACUUUAUCCAAUAUCAAUUCAAUUAAUUCAAUUAAUUUUUUUUUAAUUUACAAUUUCGCAUAGUAAAUAUAAAAAGGUCAUUUUUAUGGUAUAUAUUUUCUAAUGUUGGCCGGACAGAUAUAGUAUAUAUUUCCUUCGUAGUUAAUGUGUAUAAGUUGUUUGCCUUGGUCAUGGUUUAUUACUAGUAAUUAAAUACAGGUGCAUUUAAGCAGAUCAUUUAAUUAGAAGCACUGUAUUAACCCUCCUCCAUCAGUAAUGUCUAGAGAAGAUAAAACAAAUUAAAAUGCGUCCCAACCGCAUUUAUCUAUAGAUUCAUUGGAUUCGAUUAGGCGCCUGGUCAUAAGAAAUAGUAAUCUAUAUAUAAUAGCAAACUCGCAUUCUGUAUCCGAUGACAUCAACUUUUUUAUAGUAAAAUAAAAAUAAGAUCAUACGGUUGAGAUUAUUAAUGCUAUGCAAUCUAAC